This 469-nucleotide ribosomal RNA is filed under the name uncultured bacterium. RNAcentral describes it as "partial 16S ribosomal RNA". It matches the Rfam family "Bacterial small subunit ribosomal RNA", at positions 28 to 507 of the family's 1533-position model. The record is from RNAcentral.
GAUGAACGCUGGCGGCGUGCUUAACACAUGCAAGUCGAACGGUGAACACGGAGCUUGCUCUGUGGGGUCAGUGGCGAACGGGUGAGUAACACGUGAGCAACCUGCCCCUGACUCUGGGAUAAGCGCUGGAAACGGCGUCUAAUACUGGAUAUGUGACGUGACCGCAUGGUCUGCGUUUGGAAAGAUUUUUCGGUUGGGGAUGGGCUCGCGGCCUAUCAGCUUGUUGGUGAGGUAAUGGCUCACCAAGUCGUCGACGGGUAGCCGGCCUGAGAGGGUGACCGGCCACACUGGGAUUGAGACACGGCCCAGACUCCUACGGGAGGCAGCAGUGGGGAAUAUUGCACAAUGGGCGAAAGCCUGAUGCAGCAACGCCGCGUGAGGGAUGACGGCCUUCGGGUUGUAAACCUUUUUUAGCAGGGAAGAAGCGAAAGUGACGGUACCUGCAGAAAAAGCGCCGGCUAACUACGUG